This 99-nucleotide small nuclear RNA is filed under the name Vulpes vulpes (red fox). Lineage: Eukaryota; Metazoa; Chordata; Mammalia; Carnivora; Canidae. The record is from RNAcentral.
GUGCUCACUUCGGCAGCACAUAUACUAAAAUUGGAACAAUACAGAGAUUAGCAUAUCCCCUGUGCAAGCAUGCAAAUUUGUGAAGGAUACCAUAUUUUU